AUUGAACGCUGGCGGCAGGCCUAACACAUGCAAGUCGAACGGUAACAGGAAGCAGCUUGCUGCUUUGCUGACGAGUGGCGGACGGGUGAGUAAUGUCUGGGAAACUGCCUGAUGGAGGGGGAUAACUACUGGAAACGGUAGCUAAUACCGCAUAACGUCGCAAGACCAAAGAGGGGGACCUUCGGGCCUCUUGCCAUCGGAUGUGCCCAGAUGGGAUUAGCUAGUAGGUGGGGUAACGGCUCACCUAGGCGACGAUCCCUAGCUGGGCUGAGAGGAUGACCAGCCACACUGGAACUGAGACACGGUCCAGACUCCUACGGGAGCCAGCAGUGGGGAAUAUUGCACAAUGGGCGCAAGCCUGAUGCAGCCAUGCCGCGUGUAUGAAGAAGGCCUUCGGGUUGUAAAGUACUUUCAGCGGGGAGGAAGGGAGUAAAGUUAAUACCUUUGCUCAUUGACGUUACCCGCAGAAGAAGCACCGGCUAACUCCGUG
RNAcentral lists this ribosomal RNA (490 nucleotides) under uncultured bacterium. RNAcentral describes it as "partial 16S ribosomal RNA". It matches the Rfam family "Bacterial small subunit ribosomal RNA", at positions 30 to 507 of the family's 1533-position model. The record is from RNAcentral.